UGGAGAAUUUUGGACAAUGGGCGAAAGCCUGAUCCAGCCAUGCCGCGUGAGUGAAGAAGGCCUUCGGGUUGUAAAGCUCUUUUAGUCGGAAAGAAAAGAUCAUAAUGAACAAUUAUGAUUCAUGACGGUACCGACAGAAAAAGCACCGGCUAACUACGUGCCAGCAGCCGCGGUAAUACGUAGGGUGCGAGCGUUAAUCGGAAUUACUGGGCGUAAAGGGUGCGCAGGCGGUUUUGUAAGUCAGAUGUGAAAUCCCCGGGCUUAACCUGGGAAUUGCGUUUGAAACUGCAAGACUAGAGUGCAGCAGAGGGGAGUGGAAUUCCAUGUGUAGCAGUGAAAUGCGUAGAGAUGUGGAAGAACACCGAUGGCGAAGGCAGCUCCCUGGGUUGACACUGACGCUCAUGCACGAAAGCGUGGGGAGCAAACA
RNAcentral lists this ribosomal RNA (427 nucleotides) under uncultured beta proteobacterium. RNAcentral's name for it is "bacterial SSU rRNA". It matches the Rfam family "Bacterial small subunit ribosomal RNA", at positions 355 to 774 of the family's 1533-position model. Lineage: Bacteria; Pseudomonadati; Pseudomonadota; Betaproteobacteria. The record is from RNAcentral.